GACGAACGCUGGCGGCGUGCUUAACACAUGCAAGUCGAACGAAGUGGCGAACGGGUGAGUAACGCGUAAUCAACCUGCCCUUCAGAGGGGGACAACAGUUGGAAACGACUGCUAAUACCGCAAACUGAAGGAGGGGAUUGCGUCUGAUAAGUUAGUUGGGUGGGUAACGGCCCACCAAGGCGAUGAUCAGUAGCCGGGCUUGGAGGGUGAAUGGCCACAUUGGUACUGGGACACGGCCCAGACUCCUACGGGAAGCAGCAGUGGGGAAUCUUCCGCAAUGGACGAAAGUCUGACGGAGCAACGCCGCGUGAGUGAUGACGGCCUUCGGGUUGUAAAGCUCUGUUAAUCGGGACGCGGUACCGGAAUAGAAAGCCACGGCUAACUACGUGCCAGCAGCCGCGGUAAUAC
RNAcentral lists this ribosomal RNA (408 nucleotides) under uncultured bacterium. Its description in RNAcentral is "partial 16S ribosomal RNA". It matches the Rfam family "Bacterial small subunit ribosomal RNA", at positions 28 to 526 of the family's 1533-position model. The record is from RNAcentral.